This is a non-coding RNA of Doryrhamphus excisus (bluestripe pipefish), 932 nucleotides long. The record is from RefSeq and is a predicted model, not a curated record. Lineage: Eukaryota; Metazoa; Chordata; Actinopteri; Syngnathiformes; Syngnathidae.
ACAAACUCUGGGCAAAAUUCACCCAAUAGCCGUAAUCCAAAAUGGCAGCUGCUAUAGUGCGAAGUGUAGGCUCCGCUUUAGGUAAAAACCUCAGAGAAAUUCGAAUCCACCUCUGCCAGACAUCUGCGGCCAGCAAGGGGACGAGAGACUUUGUGGGGCAGCAUUAUGUGGACCUGAAGCAAGCCAACCCAGACUUCCCCAUUCUGGUCCGAGAAUGUUCGGGUGUGGAGGCCCGUCUGUGGGCCCGCUACGAUUUUGGGAAGGAGCGCAGCAUCUCCCUCGACAACAUGUCUGCCGAUCAAGUGGCCAAAAGUCUGCAGACGCUGCUUGCUUAAAUAAGUGAAAAAAAUAAAUGAGGCAGUUCUGUGAGGCCCAAGGUCCACAAUUGUCCACACUGGAGUUCUCCUGCAUUGCUCUUAUGUGAUUGACACCAGUAUCGGCUGCAGCACCAGCUGUUCCGGGAGAACCUUCGGCAGUAACUGCAGUGUCCUGAGGAGGGCAGCAGAGUAUAGGUACGUACAGGCACACCAGAGCUAAGACAAACAAAAGAGGACCUCUCAGAAAAAUAUAUGAACGAAACCACUGGAGAAUAGUUUCCUUUAAGACCUUUGGUGGGAUGGAAUUCUUAUAUAUUAGCAUUAGGUCAGUUGAUUUGAAGAAAGAGUAUUUCUGCUAAUGUGCUCAUCAAGGUCAGACUGAUUUCGUAGCAGAACAACCUAUGCUGUGUUAUGACCAUUUGCUUGUGGCUUGAGCCCCUCUGUCUCCAAAACAUGUUUCUCCAAUGGCGUUUUCAUGUCAACAGGUUCUGAUUAACCCGGGAUAUGUCCUUGUACCUGGUAUAGUCCUGAUGCUGUUUGAAUAACUAUGCUUCUGUCCUGUCCUUUGGGGGGACACUUGUGGCAGUCUUUCCUUCUGCAGAAUAAAUACCCAUA